Molecule: ribosomal RNA, 253 nt
Filed under: uncultured bacterium
Lineage: Bacteria
Description: partial 16S ribosomal RNA
Rfam family: Bacterial small subunit ribosomal RNA
Source: RNAcentral
UACGUAGGGGGCAAGCGUUGUCCGGAUUUAUUGGGCGUAAAGAGCGUGUAGGCGGCCUGAUAGGUCGGUUGUGAAAACUGGAGGCUUAGCCUUCAGACGUCGGCCGAAACCAUCUGGCUAGAGUCCGGAAGAGGAGAGUGGAAUUCCUGGUGUAGCGGUGAAAUGCGCAGAUAUCAGGAAGAACACCCGUGGCUAAGGCGGCUCUCUAGUACGGUACUGACGCUGAGACGCGAAAGCGUGGGGAGCGAACAGG